GACGAACCGUGCAAACGUUGUUCGGAAUCACUGGGCUUAAAGGGCGCGUAGGCUGUUCGUUAAGUCGCGGGUGAAAUCUUUCGGCUCAACCGGAAAAUUGCCUGCGAUACUGGCGAGCUCGAGGGUGGUAGGGGCGAUCGGAACUGCCAGUGGAGCGGUGAAAUGCGUUGAUAUUGGCAGGAACGCCGGUGGCGAAAGCGGAUCGCUGGAUCACUCCUGACGCUGAGGCGCGAAAGCUAGGGGAGCAAACGGGAUUAGAAACCCGUGUAGU
RNAcentral lists this ribosomal RNA (271 nucleotides) under uncultured bacterium. RNAcentral's name for it is "partial 16S ribosomal RNA". It matches the Rfam family "Bacterial small subunit ribosomal RNA", at positions 524 to 794 of the family's 1533-position model. The record is from RNAcentral.